GACCACCCCAAAUGGACUCACAGGCAUGCAGACACUUUGAACUCACAGACUCACAGGCAUGCAGACACAACAGGCCAGAUGGAGGCCACACCUGAGCCAGAGAUACACAGGAACACUCUUGGAUGCAGGACGCUCACAGUCCCCUCCUGGACACACAGCUUCGUGGGCUAAAUAAAUGCAUCGUCCUUUCUUCUGGAAUAUUGUCCCAGGAGGAAAUGUUGGAGCCCAGUGCUGGAAGGCUAGCAAUCAAGGAUGCCCCAAGGAGAGCAAGUUUUAUUUUUAGAAGGUGCUGGUGACUAGCUUUUCAUACUUGCUAUUUGCAGUAGCUCAGGGCUCUCUCCCAAAUGCAAAGCAUUCCUUGUCCUGUUCUGUCUCCUCCUGUUAGAUUUCAACCCUCUCUGCUUCUAGAUGAAGCGCCCCAGCUCAAGGACGGGCCCUCUCAGAAAGCUGCAGGAUAUAACAUUUUCUUUUCCUUUUGAUUUUUUUCUCUUUCUGUUGAAGAGAGACAAACGG
Molecule: long non-coding RNA, 513 nt
Filed under: Homo sapiens (human)
Lineage: Eukaryota; Metazoa; Chordata; Mammalia; Primates; Hominidae
Description: non-protein coding lnc-DHX8-4:1
Source: RNAcentral